AGCAGCGUGGCUCAGUGGAAAGAGCCCGGGCUUGGGCGUCAGAGGUCCUGAGUUCAAAUCCCAGCUCUGCCA
Ornithorhynchus anatinus (platypus) is the source of this 72-nucleotide non-coding RNA. NCBI's taxonomy places the organism in Eukaryota, Metazoa, Chordata, Mammalia, Monotremata, Ornithorhynchidae. The record is from Rfam.